Molecule: ribosomal RNA, 529 nt
Filed under: uncultured bacterium
Lineage: Bacteria
Description: bacterial SSU rRNA
Rfam family: Bacterial small subunit ribosomal RNA
Source: RNAcentral
CCUUGACAUCCAGNGAACUUAGCAGAGAUGCUUUGGUGCCUUCGGGAACUCUGAGACAGGUGCUGCAUGGCUGUCGUCAGCUCGUGUUGUGAAAUGUUGGGUUAAGUCCGCAACGAGCGCAACCCUUAUCCUUUGUUGCCAGCGAUUCGGUCGGGAACUCAAAGGAGACUGCCGGUGAUAAACCGGAGGAAGGUGGGGAUGACGUCAAGUCAUCAUGGCCCUUACGGCCAGGGCUACACACGUGCUACAAUGGCGCAUACAAAGAGAAGCGACCUCGCGAGAGCAAGCGGACCUCAUAAAGUGCGUCGUAGUCCGGAUUGGAGUCUGCAACUCGACUCCAUGAAGUCGGAAUCGCUAGUAAUCGUAGAUCAGAAUGCUACGGUGAAUACGUUCCCGGGCCUUGUACACACCGCCCGUCACACCAUGGGAGUGGGUUGCAAAAGAAGUAGGUAGUUUAACCUUCGGGAGGGCGCUUACCACUUUGUGAUUCAUGACUGGGGUGAAGUCGUAACAAGGUAAGCGUAGACGU